GGGUCCAUAGCUCAGCCUGGUCAGAGCGGCUGGCUCUUAACCAGUAGGUCGGGGGUCCGAAUCCCCCUGGACCCG
RNAcentral lists this transfer RNA (75 nucleotides) under Microcaldota archaeon. Its description in RNAcentral is "tRNA-Lys". It matches the Rfam family "tRNA". From Rfam's summary of the family: Transfer RNA (tRNA) molecules are approximately 80 nucleotides in length. Their secondary structure includes four short double-helical elements and three loops (D, anti-codon, and T loops). The record is from RNAcentral. Lineage: Archaea; Nanobdellati; Microcaldota.